AUACGGAGGGUGCAAGCGUUGUCCGGAUUUAUGGGGUUUAAAGGGUGCGUAGGUGGUUUUUUAAGUCAGUGGUGAAAGCCUACAGCUUAACUGUAGAGGUGCCAUUGAUACUGGGGAACUUGAGUAUGGACGAGGUAGGCGGAAUUUGUGGUGUAGCGGUGUAAUGCAUAGAUACCACAAGGAACACCGAUAGCGAAGGCAGCUUACUGGGCCAUAACUGACACUGAGGCACGAAAGCGUGGGGAGCGAACAGGAUUAGAAACCCUAGUAGUCC
Molecule: ribosomal RNA, 274 nt
Filed under: uncultured bacterium
Lineage: Bacteria
Description: partial 16S ribosomal RNA
Rfam family: Bacterial small subunit ribosomal RNA
Source: RNAcentral